RNAcentral lists this ribosomal RNA (463 nucleotides) under uncultured bacterium. RNAcentral's name for it is "partial 16S ribosomal RNA". It matches the Rfam family "Bacterial small subunit ribosomal RNA", at positions 339 to 795 of the family's 1533-position model. The record is from RNAcentral.
CUACGGGUCGCAGCAGUGGGGAAUAUUGGACAAUGGGCGCAAGCCUGAUCCAGCAAUGCCGCGUGUGUGAAGAAGGCCUUCGGGUUGUAAAGCACUUUAAGUUGGGAAGAAAAAACUCGCUCUAACACAGUGAGUCUUGACGGUACCGACAGAAUAAGCACCGGCUAACUCUGUGCCAGCAGCCGCGGUAAUACAGAGGGUGCAAGCGUUAAUCGGAUUUACUAGGCGUAAAGCGUGCGUAGGCGGUUCGUUAAGUCGAUUGUGAAAGCCCUGGGCUUAACCUGGGAAUUGCAGUCGAUACUGGCGGACUAGAGAACGGUAGAGGGAGGCGGAACUCCAGGUGUAGCGGUGAAAUGCGUAGAUAUCUGGAAGAACACCGAUGGCGAAGGCAACCUCCUGGGCCUGUUCUGACGCUGAGGCACGAAAGCGUGGGUAGCAAACAGGAUUAGAUACCCUCGUAGUC